GGCCAACUUUCAUGUGGAUCACUAUUGAAAGACUUUCUACUUUGGAGUCUCAUGGAGAACACCAACGUGCCACUUCUUUUUUUUGAUGAAAAUAAAAAAUUCUAACUUUUUUGCAUGCUUGUUUUUUGUUUUAUCGAUAUCAACAAGGUGAUUCUAGGGUUUGGAUUCUGACUCGAUAGUUUUAUUUGAUAAAGCUAUUGAUUUAUUUAUUUUUAAAAUUUUUAAAAUUAUUUUUUACUGUGUGGUCAGAACCCAACAUCUUCAUAUUUUUUCAUGAGAAGAGA
RNAcentral lists this long non-coding RNA (284 nucleotides) under Elaeis guineensis (African oil palm). RNAcentral describes it as "long non-coding RNA (EGUI_LNC060600)". Lineage: Eukaryota; Viridiplantae; Streptophyta; Magnoliopsida; Arecales; Arecaceae. The record is from RNAcentral.